Molecule: signal recognition particle RNA, 97 nt
Filed under: Methylobacteriaceae bacterium
Lineage: Bacteria; Pseudomonadati; Pseudomonadota; Alphaproteobacteria; Hyphomicrobiales; Methylobacteriaceae
Description: signal recognition particle sRNA small type
Rfam family: Bacterial small signal recognition particle RNA
About the family: The signal recognition particle (SRP) is a universally conserved ribonucleoprotein involved in the co-translational targeting of proteins to membranes. Archaeal SRP consists of a 7S RNA and homologues of the eukaryotic SRP19 and SRP54 proteins.
Source: RNAcentral
GGGAGGUCGGCGGAGGACGUGUCACUCGCCAACCGGGUCAGGUCCGGAAGGAAGCAGCCCUAACGAGAACGAGCGGGUCUCCGUCCGGCCUCUCCUG